AUCUGAUUGCUACUUUUAAUUUAUGGGCCUUAUAAACAUGGCAGUUUUGCCAUAGGAUGGCCAGAAGUUGUGGUGGUUAAAGAUAGGAUGGUGAGAGGUGGAGAAAAUAUUUAAGCUUUCUGAUUAGUGGAGCUAAUUUGUAUAAGUUUGUUGCUUGCUAUUUUAAGGGAUGUAAUUGAAUUACUCUAUAUAUUAUUAUUA
Molecule: long non-coding RNA, 201 nt
Filed under: Elaeis guineensis (African oil palm)
Lineage: Eukaryota; Viridiplantae; Streptophyta; Magnoliopsida; Arecales; Arecaceae
Description: long non-coding RNA (EGUI_LNC021822)
Source: RNAcentral